UUUGGUGGUCAUAGCGAGAGCAAAACACCCGGAUCCAUUCCGAACCCGGCCGUUAAGUGCCUUAGCGCCGAUGGUACUGCGUCUCAAGGCGUGGGAGAGUAGGUCGCCGCCAAAC
Molecule: ribosomal RNA, 115 nt
Filed under: Rhodobacteraceae bacterium HLUCCO07
Lineage: Bacteria; Pseudomonadati; Pseudomonadota; Alphaproteobacteria; Rhodobacterales; Paracoccaceae
Source: RNAcentral